ACCCGAAACCGCUUACAGAUAUGAAGACAUUGGUUGUGUUGGGGCCCUGACACCACCUGCCCCACAGUCAGUUUAGAAGUUCAGAAUGACAGGCCCUGGCGAUUGAAGAGAUUUCCAAGGAUUUUCCAUCAUUCCGUUUUAGUUUUCCAGACUCUUGGUGCAGGGAAAAAUUUCACUAUAUGCUUCUUUAAUGUGGGUGUCUUCCAAACCCUGUCAGCAGUCUACAUAUCCCCAGGCUUCGUCCCUCAUUAGGCUCCAAGGACACUGGGAGAAAGCUUGGAACACAGAGACCUGGCUGUGGAGGCUGAAAGAAGCUGAGGAGAAGGGCGAUCCUGUAGGAGGACCAGCAGUCUCAAUUAAUCUGGACUCCCGAGAUCUCUCAAACACUGGACCACCAAACAGGCAGCAUACACCAGCUGAUAUGAGGCCCCCAAGACACAUACAGCAGAGGAUUGCCAGCUUCCUCCUGAUGAACUGUGCCUGCCUGUGGCUCUUCUGAAGUCCAUCAACAUCUGCAUCAAAGUUUGAAAAUGCAACUGCUUUUAGGUAAUUUGAUAAAUCGUCUGAAGGCAUUUUCAUAUGUGUGUACUCUGCUUCUGCAUUCUAUUUCUAAGAUCCUUUAGGGGAAAAUCUAUAUCUUUUUUUUUCCCUUUAUAACCGUCUCUGCACGAUUCUUAGGACAGUGUUUUCAUCAGCGUGCUUAUUGUCUGAACACGCUCUUUCUUUGUAGGCUGAGAACCCUUGGAGGCUGACUUUAUUUCAUUCAUUAAUUUAUUUAAAAUAUUUACUGAGGCCUAUUAUGUGGCAGGCACUGGCUAAGUGCUCAGGGUUCAGUGUUGAAACUCACAGUCUGGGGCAAAGAAGGAAACAUACACAAAUAACUGUAAUACAAUGUGAUAAGUGCUGUAAUAUAGGUACCGUGAGCUCGGAGUGCUCUGGAAACCCAGGAGGGAGCUUAUGAAAUAAUUUCCUUACUGUUCCAAUGUCUAAAUAUGAAUGUUUAAGUAAACACCUUUCCUUU
Molecule: long non-coding RNA, 1021 nt
Filed under: Mus musculus (house mouse)
Lineage: Eukaryota; Metazoa; Chordata; Mammalia; Rodentia; Muridae
Description: predicted gene 4791
Source: RNAcentral